AAAUAUAAGUUCAAAGAAUCACAGGGGUUGGAAGGGACCUCUGGAGAUCACCUUGUCCAACCACCCUGCUAAAGCAGGUCCUUACAGCACAGGAAAGCAUCCAGACGUGUACUGAGUAUCUCCAGAGAAGGAGAUUCCACAAGCUCCACUGGGCAGCCGGCCCAGUGCUCGGACACCCUCACAGAAAAGAACUUCUUUCUCACGUGCAUAUGGAACUUCCUGGUUUCCAGGUUGCACCUGUCACCCCUCGUCCUGUCACCAGGCACCACCAAAAAGAGGAUGUCCCCAUCCUCUCAACACUCACUCUUCAGGUAUUUCUAAGCAUUGAUUAUGGACGCCAGGAGCUCUAACUUGGUAACAUGGGAAGCCAUAUAAAAAAAUCAGAAACAAGAUUCAGAAAACAGAAAAUUGAGAAGAUUCUAGAACGGGGAUUUUAAUUCAUCCUGAAGAGAAUGCAGCUGGUAUCUUUUCUCAAGAAGAAACAUUAUCAGAACGAAUACAGAUACAUCUACCACAAAAUUCUCACUCUGCAGACACUCUGCUGUACUACAUUUCAUAGGACUGGAUCUCUGCAGCUGCUUUAGUGAAACGUCACGUGAACCUGCUUCUCUACAGAUGGUUCCAUGAUGAAUCCCAUUAUCACAAUAUAUGAAAGUCACACUUUU
Numida meleagris (helmeted guineafowl) is the source of this 665-nucleotide long non-coding RNA. RefSeq lists it as uncharacterized. The transcript is spliced from 2 exons. Lineage: Eukaryota; Metazoa; Chordata; Aves; Galliformes; Numididae. The record is from RefSeq and is a predicted model, not a curated record.